RNAcentral lists this ribosomal RNA (1641 nucleotides) under Triticum aestivum (bread wheat). Its description in RNAcentral is "partial small subunit ribosomal RNA". Lineage: Eukaryota; Viridiplantae; Streptophyta; Magnoliopsida; Poales; Poaceae. The record is from RNAcentral.
AUGGCUCUUCAGUAUCCUAUACUUUUCCCAUAUGGUGAUAAGAGUUACCAUCGUGGUAUUAAAUAUGUUGAUGUUAAUGAUUUCCCGGCCGUAACUGAUGCAAAUGUACAAGCUCAAGGACAUUUGGAUGGCGAGGAUGCCGACGAUGAUGUUGACUGUGAUUCCGAGCAUAUGGAUUCUUCACGUGGCCAGGUUACCAUGUCGGAUUAUUAUAAGUACUAUGCCCAUUAUCGCGAAGGCGAGGUUAAUCCUUAUACAAGUUGUGGCCGGCUAAGUCAACAGAUUGUUGUUAAUGCUUACUCCUGUAUAGAGGCUGAUCGUUUGGAAUAUCAUUUUCGUAAGCAAGACAAGGUUCGAUCUGAGACCUAUCAGGGCAUAUCUGACGCUAUGGGUGAAGGUAAUUCAACUGGCAAGAAUGUUGGUGUGCAGUUCAUACUGCAUGGUAGUUUUACGGGCGGUCCACGGUACAUGCUUUUGAACUAUCAUGACGGGAUGGCCAUUUGUCGGCAGUACGGUGCACCUGAUCUGUUCAUUACUUUUACAUGCAAUCCUAGGUGGCAAGAGAUUGUCGAUGCUCUUGCUUCCGAACCUGGUCAAACUGCUGCUGAUCGGCCUGAUAUUACUACUCGUAUUUGUACGUUGUGGAGUUUGAAAAAAGGGGGUUUGCCACAUACUCACACGUUGGUGUGGCUGAAGGCAGAUACCAAGGAUCCGUCUCCUUCUUUUAUAGAUGGCCUUAUUUCUGCAGAGCUGCCGGGCCCUUUGGUUGAUCCUUUGGGUUAUGCUCUUGCUGAUAAAUUUAUGGUACAUGGACCUUGUGGGGCAUAUAAUGCUAAGUGCGCUUGCAUGAAGAACAAUAGUUGUUCCAAGCGCUUUCCUAAGCCUCUAAGCGAUGAUACAAUGAUUGAUCAUGUUGGAUAUCCAGUUUAUCGUCGACGUGACACUGGAUUGUAUGUCCUCAGGCAGAAAGACACGCUCCGUUUGGGAAAUCAAUGGGUUGUUCCAUACAACUUGAAUUUGUUGAAGAGGUUCGACGCUCAUAUAAAUGUGGAGUGGUGUAAUAAGACAAAAUUAUUGAAAUAUUUAUUCAAAUAUCUCACGAAGGGUCAUGAUGUAGUUCGCAUGCGUUUUCAUGCUGAAGACAUGCCUCCUGGUGUGUUCACUGUGCCAUGUCCUACCGGUAGAAAUGAAAUCGACGACUAUAUCAAAUGCAGGGACCUGUCUGCCUGUGAGGCCUUUUGGAGGUUGUUUGCGUAUAGUAUCCAUGGUAGUCAGCCUUCUGUCGAGCGUCUGGUUGUUCACUUACCUAACAUGAAUAGGGUCAUAUUUGCGGAGACUGAUAGUUUAGGAAAUGUUCUGGAGGAUUCUUCGUCAACUAAGACUAUGCUUACUGAGUGGUUUGCUACCAACCGGAAGCAUGUGUCUGCUAGGUCUUUAACAUACCUUGAUUUUCCGAGUGAGUGGGUUUGGAAUAAAAGUUCUAAAGUGUGGACGAAGCGGAAGCGCCCAGACAGCGACGAUCCCAUUAUCACAUAUACAGGCACACAUCCUCCCGUCGGACGUAUGCAAGAACUUGCAAAAUCACUUUAUCAUUACAUCACAGGCACCAAUCCUGCAGGAGGAUAUACUAGGAUGAUCUAA